This is a microRNA precursor of Oryza sativa Indica Group (long-grained rice), 194 nucleotides long. It matches the Rfam family "MIR812 microRNA precursor family". The record is from Rfam. Lineage: Eukaryota; Viridiplantae; Streptophyta; Magnoliopsida; Poales; Poaceae.
CUCAAGUGCAGUUUUCAUUUACAACUUUGAUCGUUCGUCUUAUUUUAAUUUUUUUUAUAAUUAGUUUUUUUCUAUGAGAUGAUAAGACAUGAAUAGUACUUUAUGUGUGGCUUAUGUUUUUAAUUUUUUUUAAAACAAAUUCAAAUAAGAUGGAUGAUCAAAAUUAAGCAUGGAAAAACAUGACUGCACUUAAA